UACGGUAGGGGCAAGCGUUGUCCGGAUUUAUUGGGCGUAAAGAGCGUGUAGGCGGCCAUACAGGUCCGUUGUGAAACUGGAGGCUUAACCUCCAGACGUCGAUGGAAACCGUAUGGCUAGAGUCCGGAAGAGGAGAGUGGAAUUCCUGGUGUAGCGGUGAAAUGCGCAGAUAUCAGGAGGAACACCAGCGGCGAAGGCGGCGCUCUGGGCCGGAACUGACGCUGAGGAGCGAAAGCGUGGGUAGCAAACAGG
Molecule: ribosomal RNA, 252 nt
Filed under: uncultured bacterium
Lineage: Bacteria
Description: partial 16S ribosomal RNA
Rfam family: Bacterial small subunit ribosomal RNA
Source: RNAcentral